GAGUGGAGAUGAGACUGAGAGGGAAGAUGAGAGGGUAGGAUGGUAGAGAGGAGUAACAAAAGUGAAAAGAAAAACUAAAAACUGAAAUAUAUUUCAAAUUGUUUUCACUUUCAAGUUUUUGUUGUCACUUUUCUUACUCCUCCCUCACAUCCUUCA
RNAcentral lists this microRNA precursor (156 nucleotides) under Prunus dulcis (almond). RNAcentral describes it as "sRNA ncRNA". Lineage: Eukaryota; Viridiplantae; Streptophyta; Magnoliopsida; Rosales; Rosaceae. The record is from RNAcentral.